ACAGGGAUUGCCCUAGUAACGGCGAGUGAAGCGGCAACAGCUCAAAUUUGAAAUCUGGCUCUUUCAGAGUCCGAGUUGUAAUUUGCAGAGGGCGCUUUGGUGUUGGCAGCGGUCCAAGUUCCUUGGAACAGGACGUCACAGAGGGUGAGAAUCCCGUACGUGGUCGCUAGCCUUCGCCGUGUAAAGCCCCUUCGACGAGUCGAGUUGUUUGGGAAUGCAGCUCUAAAUGGGAGGUAAAUUUCUUCUAAAGCUAAAUACUGGCCAGAGACCGAUAGCGCACAAGUAGAGUGAUCGAAAGAUGAAAAGCACUUUGGAAAGAGAGUCAAAUAGCACGUGAAAUUGUUGAAAGGGAAGCGCUUGCAGCCAGACUUGCCUGUAGUUGCUUAUCCGGACUUUUGUCCGGUGCACUCUUCUGCGGGCAGGCCAGCAUCAGUUUGGGCGGUUGGAUAAAGGUCUCUGUCAUGUACCUCUCUUCGGGGAGAACUUAUAGGGGAGACGACAUGCAACCAGCCUGGACUGAGGUCCGCGCAUCUGCUAGGAUGCUGGCGUAAUGGCUGUAAGCGGCCCGUCUUGAAACACGGACCAAGGAGUCUAACAUCUAUGCGAGUGUUUGGGUGUCAAGCCCAGACGCGUAAUGAAAGUGAACGGAGGUGGGAACCCUUUGGGUGCACCAUCGACCGAUCCUGAUGUCUUCGGAUGGAUUUGAGUAAGAGCAUGGCUGUUGGGACCCGAAAGAUGGUGAACUAUGCUUGAAUAGGGUGAAGCCAGAGGAAACUCUGGUGGAGGCUCGCAGCGGUUCUGACGUGCAAAUCGAUCGUCAAAUUUGGGCAUAGGGGCGAAAGACUAAUCGAACUAUCUAGUAGCUGGUUCCUGCCGAAGUUUCCCUCAGGAUAGCAGUAACGUAUUCAGUUUUAUGAGGUAAAGCGAAUGAUUAGAGGCCUGGGGGUUGAAACAACCUUCACCUAUUCUCAAACUUUAAAUAUGUAAGAAGUCCUUGUUACUUGAUUGAACGUGGACACUUGAAUGUACCGUUACUAGUGGGCCAUUUUUGGUAAGCAGAACUGGCGAUGCGGGAUGAACCGAACGCGGGGUUAAGGUGCCAGAAUAUACGCUCAUCAGACACCACAAAAGGUGUUAGUUCAUCUAGACAGCAGGACGGUGGCCAUGGAAGUCGGAAUCCGCUAAGGAGUGUGUAACAACUCACCUGCCGAAUGAACUAGCCCUGAAAAUGGAUGGCGCUCAAGCGUAUUACCCAUACCCCGCCGCCGGGGCAGAAUUUAUGCCCCGGCGAGUAGGCAGGCGUGGAGGCUCGUGACGAAGCCUUGG
This 1326-nucleotide ribosomal RNA is filed under the name Paraphoma radicina. RNAcentral's name for it is "eukaryotic LSU rRNA". It matches the Rfam family "Eukaryotic large subunit ribosomal RNA", at positions 68 to 1414 of the family's 3401-position model. Lineage: Eukaryota; Fungi; Ascomycota; Dothideomycetes; Pleosporales; Phaeosphaeriaceae. The record is from RNAcentral.